Molecule: ribosomal RNA, 406 nt
Filed under: uncultured bacterium
Lineage: Bacteria
Description: partial 16S ribosomal RNA
Rfam family: Bacterial small subunit ribosomal RNA
Source: RNAcentral
AUUGAACGCUGGCGGCAGGCCUAACACAUGCAAGUCGAGCGAGCGGCGGACGGGUGAGUAAUGUCUGGGAAACUGCCUGAUGGAGGGGGAUAACUACUGGAAACGGUAGCUAAUAACGCAUACCAUCAGAUGUGCCCAGAUGGGAUUAGAUAGUAGGUGGGGUAACGGCUCACCUAGGCGACGAUCCCUAGCGGGGCUGAGAGGAUGGCCAGACACACUGGAACGUUGACACGGUCCAGACUCCUACUCGAUGCAGCAGUGGGGAAGAGUGCACAAUGGGCGCAGGCCUGAUGCAGCCAUGCCGCGUGGGUGAAGGAGGGAUGCGGGUUGUAAAGCACUUUCAGUGGGGAGGCGUUACCCGCAGAAGAAGCACCGGCUAACUCCGUGCCAGCAGCCGCGGUAAUAC